Molecule: small RNA, 77 nt
Filed under: Flavobacterium sp. 9R
Lineage: Bacteria; Pseudomonadati; Bacteroidota; Flavobacteriia; Flavobacteriales; Flavobacteriaceae
Description: Flavo-1
Rfam family: Flavo-1 RNA
Source: RNAcentral
UUUUAGCCCCGACCGCAGCGGCAUCCUUUGUGUAUGCGCUAGCUUACACAAAGAUAUAGCGGAGAGCGGGAAACCAU